RNAcentral lists this ribosomal RNA (253 nucleotides) under uncultured bacterium. Its description in RNAcentral is "partial 16S ribosomal RNA". It matches the Rfam family "Archaeal small subunit ribosomal RNA", at positions 474 to 727 of the family's 1478-position model. The record is from RNAcentral.
UACCAGCACCCCGAGUGGUCGGGACGAUUAUUGGGCCUAAAGCAUCCGUAGCCGGUCCUGCAAGUCCUCCGUUAAAUCCACCUGCUUAACAGAUGGGCUGCGGAGGAUACUACAAGGCUAGGAGGCGGAAGAGGCAAGCGGUACUCAGUGGGUAGGGGUAAAAUCCUCUGAUCCAUUGAAGACCACCAGUGGCGAAGGCGGCUUGCCAAUACGCGCUCGACGGUGAGGGAUGAAAGCUGGGGGAGCAAACCGG